CCUACGGGUGGCAGCAGUGAGGAAUAUUGGUCAAUGGACGCGAGUCUGAACCAGCCAAGUAGCGUGAAGGAUGACUGCCCUAUGGGUUGUAAACUUCUUUUAUAUGGGAAUAAAAUGUUCCACGUGUGGCUUUUUGUAUGUACCUUAUGAAUAAGGAUCGGCUAACUCCGUGCCAGCAGCCGCGGUAAUACGGAGGAUCCGAGCGUUAUCCGGAUUUAUUGGGUUUAAAGGGAGCGUAGAUGGAUUGUUAAGUCAGUUGUGAAAGUUUGCGGCUCAACCGGAAAAUUGCAGUUGAAACUGGCAGUCUUGAGUACAGUAGAGGUGGGCGGAAUUCGUGGUGUAGCGGUGAAAUGCUUAGAGAUCACGAAGAACUCCGAUUGCGAAGGCAGCUCACUAGACUGCCACUGACACUGAGGCUCGAAAGUGUGGGUAUCAAACAGGAUUAGAUACCCCGGUAGUC
This 460-nucleotide ribosomal RNA is filed under the name uncultured bacterium. Its description in RNAcentral is "partial 16S ribosomal RNA". It matches the Rfam family "Bacterial small subunit ribosomal RNA", at positions 338 to 795 of the family's 1533-position model. The record is from RNAcentral.